GCAGUUGCUCAACCAGGAGCGGAGCCAUGGAUGGGGGCCAACCAUAGAGGUCCUGGUGUUUCUGUUUUGGCUGGCCAGCGGUGCGUCGUACCGCGUGGUGUCGAGGGCAUUCGACAUGCCCAGGACCACGGUGCACAACGUCGUCCAUAGGGUCUGUGGCUGUGUGAUCGUGGCGAUGCCAAGGGUGAUCCGGUUACCUUCCACUGCUGAGGGGCAGAGAGAGGUUCUGUCCACGACGCCCGGGUCCUGAGGCACAGCCCCCUGUUCCAGUCUGCCGCGUACCCACCCCCUGAUACCUUCUUGUUGGGUGAUGGGGGGUACCCCUGUCUGAUGAGGCCCAUUUCCCUCAUCACACCAUACAAGAACCCACUCAGGGGAGUGGCACAACAGAGGUUUAACGCGCAUCAUGCCAGAGCUCGUUCGGUCAUUGAGCGGGCUUUUGGCAUGAUGAAGACCAGGUGGAGGUCCAUCUUUUUCUGUGCCUUGGAGGUGGACGUCUCAUUUGUGCCAGAUGUCAUUGUGUGUUGCACUAUGCUUCACAAUGUAUGUCUGGGCAAUGAUGAUGUCCUACCGGUGGAUGAGGAGGACCCUGAAGAGCCCGUCGGGGGAGAGGACCAUGGCGAAACAUCAAGUGGUGGUGCCCUGCGAGACAGCAUUGCAGAUCAGCUGUCCGCACUUCAGUGUCUUCCAUCGGGACACGA
Molecule: long non-coding RNA, 701 nt
Organism: Clupea harengus (Atlantic herring)
Lineage: Eukaryota; Metazoa; Chordata; Actinopteri; Clupeiformes; Clupeidae
Source: Ensembl